CCUACGGGAGGCAGCAGUGAGGAAUCUUGGUCAAUGGACGCAAGUCUGAACCAGCCAUGCCGCGUGCAGGAAUACGGCUCUAUGAGUUGUAAACUGCUUUUGUACGAGGGUAAACGCAGAUACGCGUAUCUGUCUGAAAGUAUCGUACGAAUAAGGAUCGGCUAACUCCGUGCCAGCAGCCGCGGUAAUACGGAGGAUUCAAGCGUUAUCCGGAUUUAUUGGGUUUAAAGGGUGCGUAGGCGGUCGGAUAAGUUAGGGGUGAAAUCCCGGGGCUCAACUUCGGAAUUGCCUCUGAUACUGUGCGGCUAGAGAGUAGGUGCGGUAGGCGGAAUGUAUGGUGUAGCGGUGAAAUGCUUAGAGAUCAUACAGAACACCGAUUGCGAAGGCAGCUUACCAAGCUACUUCUGACGUUGAGGCACGAAAGCGUGGGGAGCAAACAGGAUUAGAUACCCGAGUAGUC
This 460-nucleotide ribosomal RNA is filed under the name uncultured bacterium. RNAcentral describes it as "partial 16S ribosomal RNA". It matches the Rfam family "Bacterial small subunit ribosomal RNA", at positions 338 to 795 of the family's 1533-position model. The record is from RNAcentral.